Molecule: transfer RNA, 83 nt
Filed under: Streptomyces sp. 1-11
Lineage: Bacteria; Bacillati; Actinomycetota; Actinomycetes; Kitasatosporales; Streptomycetaceae
Description: tRNA-Ser
Source: RNAcentral
GGGCCGGCCUGGUCGAACUGGCCGGCGUGGGAGUGCUGCUGCCGCUCUACGGGGCCGCGCUGCUCGCGACGGCGGCCGCCCUG